Molecule: ribosomal RNA, 513 nt
Filed under: uncultured bacterium
Lineage: Bacteria
Description: partial 16S ribosomal RNA
Rfam family: Bacterial small subunit ribosomal RNA
Source: RNAcentral
GACGAACGCUGGCGGCGUGCUUAACACAUGCAAGUCGAACGAAAAGAGGGAAAGAGCUUGCUCUUUCCGGAAUUGAGUGGCAAACGGGUGAGUAACACGUAAACAACCUGCCUUCAGGAUGGGGACAACAGACGGAAACGACUGCUAAUACCGAAUAAGUUCCAAGGGCCGCAUGGCCCAUGGAAGAAAAGGUGGCCUCUACAUGUAAGCUAUCGCCUGAAGAGGGGUUUGCGGCUGAUUAGCUGGUUGGGGGGGUAACGGCCCACCAAGGCGACGAUCAGUAGCCGGUCUGAGGGGAUGAACGGCCACACUGGGACUGGGACACGGUCCCGACUCCUACGGGAGGCAGCAGUGGGGAAUCUUCCGCCAUGGGCGGAAGCCUUACGGAGCAACGCCGCGUGGGUGAUGACGGCCUUCGGGUUGUAAAACUCUGUGAUCCGGGACGAAAAGGCAGUGUGCGAAGAACAAACUGCAUUGACGGUACCGGAAAAGCAAGCCACGGCUAACUACGUG